GUAGGAUCUUCGUUGUUACUUUAUUUGUUUUCAAGGUGUGACAAUUCAUGACAUGGUACAUCCAACCGAGCCACAGCAGACUGAUGAAAACAAAGACAAUUGUCAGACAGGCUGCACAGCAUGUUCAAACUUCAACUUCAAACUUACUGUGUGGAUGGAGUGCCAAAAAAACCUGUCAGUUCAGUGGUGUUACCCAAUCAGAUUAGAUUUGAUUGGCUGCAACACUAAACCAAAAAAAAAAAAAUUGAGGGUUAAAGGUGUGGAGGUGUAUAAAACAUUAUUUUCAUCCAUUUCUCCAUCACUGCAGCUCCUCCAGGACUGACGCUCACCUGUUAAUCUCUCCUCAAAUCACCUUUGCCGUCAUCAUGCCCGAUCUUAUUAAACUUAUGAGCAGCAUCGUCGAUUGCUACAACGACUACGCUGGCAAGGACGGGGACGCAAGCUCCCUGACUAUGAAAGAGAUGUCAGAUCUGUUCAUGAAAGAACUUCGUCCAUGGAUGCAGAGUCUCAGUGACCACACAGAAGUGGACAAGAUCUUAGAAUCCUUCAGUGACGACAUAGAAGCUGGUAUGAACUUCACCAACUUUGGCAAAUUGCUCAUUGGCUUUGCUAAUGUAAUGCAGAAGCAGCCAGCAAGAAAUAAUGAGCCACCUUGGGGUCAACACAGAGAGCUGCCUUCUUGUGGAGAGAGAAGAGUGUCCACGACUGCUGUUAUGAAGAACAAAAACAGAUAUUGUCGCACGUGUUGAAAUAAACCUCUUUUCCUGUGAGACCUUGUGUACUCUGUUGUUUCUGUACUGCGGGGGAACAAUAUUUGUGACAAUAUUGGCUCUCGCCCUGUAAUUCUUACAGCCAGAUUAACCCAAGGAGGGGAACAAUAAUACUGCAGGUUAUUAGCGGUGUGUUUCUUGUAUCAUGGAGGUGGAGAAACCACAGCACAUUCUCAAAAGAAGGACACACUCGAAAGGACAAGGUAGUGGAUUAGAAUUGAAAUUGAAUGCCAUAAUGGUUGUUUGAGUUGGGAAGUAACAAUAAGUGGGAAUACUCAAGUAAAGUAACUGAGAGAUAGUACUCAGAAGCAGUACUUGAGUAAAUUGAACGCAGGUUUCUUCAUCACUGAUUGUUCGAUGUUUUGACACAAAGAUUGUCAUUUUUACUGCAAAUGAAUAUCCUUCCCUAAAUAUCCGUUUUCAGUCACCUUGAUUUCUAAUAAUCUGCAUUGGUAUCUCCCCUGAAAAAGCCAUGUCAGCGAGUAAUUAUUUUUCUUACAACUUUAUAAUUUUACUCCCUACAUUUUCAUAACAGGCCCGUAAUUUUAGUUUCAAAGCAUAUGUGGGGAAUUAUCGAAAAUCGAUCGAUCUAAUCUAUUCUCACGUACAGUAGGUAGACAGAGGAGCAGAGACACUAACGGCACAAACACGACAGCAUAAUUUGGCUAAGACUCAGAGAAUCAGCGGCUGUGUCUGCAUUUUCUUACAUUCUCAAUGUUGAGCUCAGUCUGUUUCCACAGUGUUGGUAUUUCACAUCCUGGGAAUGGGACUCCACAAUCAACCAUCUUUCUGGUGAGUUCACGAACGGCUCAGACAAAUUCCUACUUAUUUCACCUUUAAGUUUUACAGUCAAUGAAUUAUAUUAAUAUGUCACGAGGUUCAGUUAACUUUGCGCAAAAUGGCUGGAGGGAUACUUUUUACUUUUAUACUUUGAGGGCAUCUCACAGCCUGUAUUUUAUUACUCUUACUUGAGUCAACAACUGGAAUCAGUACGUCUACUUUGACCAGAGUCUUUUAUACGUAAGCAUCUUUACUUACUUACUGCAUGAGUAAAUAAUGUGUGUACUUUUGGUUCAAAUUAAAUCACACACUGUAACAUCAGAGUCAGGCUGCAAAGAUGGUAGAAAAUACAUUUACAUUUACAUUUUAGGGCAUUUAGCAGAUGGUUUUGUCCAAAACAACUCAUACAGUAAUUCAUACAUUCAUACACCGAUGGCGGUGGUUGCCAUGGAAGAUGCCGAUCAGCACAUCAGGAGCAAUUUGGGGUUCAGUAUCUGUGAGUGAGUGAGUCCACGUAGGGUGGAGUUUCAUCUAGAAGGCCUCUGUUUGCGUCCCACAUGAAACCAACAGUCAACACUGAUCUGUUUAGAUCUACGUCUGUAAGUGACCCGAAAAAAGAAUAAAAAACUCUUGCCUUGUUUAGUUUUGCUUUUUUUUUUCCCUUGAUACAGCAUAAAGACGUUGAGCGUUGCACUCACAGCUGUUUACAAACGAUUUGGGUUGUCCAUCUUUAGAGUGUAGGGAUCUGGACAGUUAAUACUAACUACAAGAACAAUU
This 2327-nucleotide long non-coding RNA is filed under the name Sparus aurata (gilthead seabream). Its description in RNAcentral is "lncRNA (ENSSAUG00010007216.1)". Lineage: Eukaryota; Metazoa; Chordata; Actinopteri; Spariformes; Sparidae. The record is from RNAcentral.